Long non-coding RNA from Branchiostoma floridae (Florida lancelet), 700 nucleotides. RefSeq lists it as uncharacterized. Lineage: Eukaryota; Metazoa; Chordata; Leptocardii; Amphioxiformes; Branchiostomatidae. The record is from RefSeq and is a predicted model, not a curated record. The transcript has 3 exons.
CUUUUAUAUAUUCAUAUACAUAAAAGAUCUCGUAUUGGAGCAUAGGUGGUAAUUAGUUGUUUUGCCUAAAGACAUCCUAGUCCAUCAGCUGUACAAGAUGAAGACUGCCCUGCUGUUCUUGGUCUGCCUUGUGGUGGUGAUCAAGGCUCAGUUCUGGAAUCCACUGACUCCAUGCCAUGACCACGAUCACGCAAUGGCCUGUCCGGACCCCGAAAACCAAUGUUGCCGCCAAGGCAUAUUCGGCAUCCAUACCUGUGAGAUUAAACCACACCACGGCUGGCCCUGUGAUCCCGCUGGACUUGCCAGCUGCCCCUGCAGGGAAGGUCUCUCGUGCGUGAUGAAGCCGAACACUACGGAGGCGUUGUGCGUCUCGGUGGACUUGGAGGGAUGAUGCCGACGUACACGUACCCAUGCAGACCGUCCUAGAUUCCACGACGCACAUUUACCAUAUGCAGACCCCACUAGAAUUAACAGAAAAUCAAAUCGGACGACUAGAUACAUAAACUAUUCGAAAUGAUGAUGACUAAGCGGUUAUUUGACUGUCCAGUUGUCCAUGUAAGGUCACUUUACAACCGGCCGUAUUGACUCUGCACUGUCAGAUAACAGCCGUUGGGGUUUCAUCAUUACGAGUAUUAUCAUGUACUUCUGGUCGAAACACAAGUGAUCACAGUCUUAUAAUAAACCAGCAUGAAUUCUGCCA